Vombatus ursinus (common wombat) is the source of this 383-nucleotide long non-coding RNA. RefSeq lists it as uncharacterized. Lineage: Eukaryota; Metazoa; Chordata; Mammalia; Diprotodontia; Vombatidae. The record is from RefSeq and is a predicted model, not a curated record. The transcript is spliced from 4 exons.
CAAAUAGGGUUAAGUGACUUGCCCAAGCUCUCACAGCUAUGCAGCCAAGCCUAGGUUCUUUUCCAAGGGAGUGGCCAUAGACUCUGGAGAUUAGUGACACUCACUCUGGCCUGACCAAAGUCAUGGUCCUGCUCGGUGUCUUCCCUGAAUGGACCCUCAAAAAGUGCUGGUGUCCCCUCCUCAAAGUAACGGGUCCCCUGGGGACUGCAUGUGGAAUGACAGGUCCCUGAACUCCACCAGGACCCCUGUACGACGAGGAGCUCCUACAUCAAGGGAAGGCACAUGGCUCGCUCAGGAGCCGCCUCCCAUUGCAGCUGGUUCAGUGUCCGCCGCACAAGAGCUGCGUCGCAGCCCAUGGAGUCAGCCAGCUCUAUGACAUUGAA